GUAAAGAUACCCUCUUUUAUGCUUAUCUUUUUUUUCCAGCCUUGCUCUUGGGGCAGCCAGUAGAGGUAAGAGUCUAAACUUCACGGGUCUAAGUGAAAUUACCCGUGAGUUGAAAUUGAAAUUGAAAUUGAAAAUCCUUUGCAGUUUCAGAAAUAGUCCAACGCGUUUCCUCCUCCUAGAAGAAGCAGUACAACUCUACCCAGACGACCAUCUCCUAGAUCUCCCUCUCAUCAUUCUAAGUCUUUAUCAAAAUGGUACUAGCUUCUUUCUUCAAUUUCAUAAGAUUCUCUUCGUUUUGCUUUACCUUUUUCACAAGUUCAAGAAUUACUAUAACGCAUGGAGAAACUUGCCUCAGUUUCCUGUUUAAUACAAUUUCUGCUAAUACCCUUUUGGAGUUCUUUAAUACUGCUUGGAUGCUAUUAAUCCUUCUUUUCUUCCUUUUGAUUUUUUUUGCAGACUUAUUUAGAAGAAAGAUCAACGGUAAUGAUUCUAGUCUUUUUGAAUGUCCUUUUCUUUAAAUAUUUUUAUUUAUGUUUAUGUGAAGGUGUUGAUCUUUUGUUGGUAGCUUUCUUUGUUUGAGGUAAAAGGAAAUAGAUUGUUGUUGGAAAGGACCCAAAGGCUGAGCUAUGAUUUCAACUUUAUGAGUUUCUGAAAUUUAGAAGAUAACUUCAAGUAUUAGUAAUUGAGUUCUAAAUUUAAUGUUUGUACAUAUUUACCGGGGUGUACAAUUACGACCCUAGUAAUAAUUAUGCACGGCUUUU
Molecule: long non-coding RNA, 761 nt
Filed under: Nicotiana tabacum (common tobacco)
Lineage: Eukaryota; Viridiplantae; Streptophyta; Magnoliopsida; Solanales; Solanaceae
Description: long non-coding RNA (NTAB_LNC017318)
Source: RNAcentral